RNAcentral lists this ribosomal RNA (253 nucleotides) under uncultured bacterium. Its description in RNAcentral is "partial 16S ribosomal RNA". It matches the Rfam family "Bacterial small subunit ribosomal RNA", at positions 524 to 776 of the family's 1533-position model. The record is from RNAcentral.
UACAGAGGUCUCAAGCGUUGUUCGGAUUCAUUGGGCGUAAAGGGUGCGUAGGUGGCGGGGUAAGUCAGGUGUGAAAUUUCGGAGCUCAACUCUGAAACUGCAUUUGAUACUGCCUUGCUUGAGGACUGGAGAGGAGACUGGAAUUCACGGUGUAGCAGUGAAAUGCGUAGAUAUCGUGAGGAAGACCAGUGGCGAAGGCGGGUCUCUGGACAGUUCCUGACACUGAGGCACGAAGGCCAGGGGAGCAAACGGG